UUAAAAAAAAAAAAAAGAUACAGAUGAGAAAAUGCCUCACAGAAGCUCCAUACCAGCCUUCUUCUGUGUUUAUUGAGAUCAUCAUGUGAUUUCUGUCCUCCAUUCUAUUGAUAUGUAGUAAAUGUCUUGAGGUGAGGACCAACUAUUUGAGGUCCCCUGUUGUGAACUGAAUUGUGACCCCAAAAAGAUAUGUUCAAGUUCUAACCCCUGGUACCUGUGAAUAUGACCUUAUUUGGAAAUAGGUUCUUUGCAGAUGUAAUCAAGUAAAGAUGAGCUCAUACUGGAGUAGGGUGGGCCCUAAAUCCAAUAUGACUGAUAUCCUUAGAAGAGAAGAAGAGGAGCACCUGGGUGGCACAGUUGGUUGAGCGUGCAACUCUUGAUUUUGGCUCAGGUCGUGAUCUUGGGGUCAUGAGAUUGAGCCCCACAUCAGGCUCUGCACACAGCAGGGAGUCUGCUUGGGAUUCUCUCUCUCCCUCUCCCUCUACCCCUCCCCCUGUAUGUGCUCUCUCUCAAAUAUAUAAAUACAUCUUUAAAAAAGAGGACAAGAAGAGACAUAGACACUGACACAGAAAGAAGAAUGCCACGUGAAGAUGGAGGAAAAGAUUGAAGUGAUGCACCUAUAAGCCAAGGAAUGUCAAGGAUUGCUGGCAACCAACUGAAACUAGAAAUCUGGGUAUUAUCGGCUAUGUGGCUAACAGAGACCUGAGGUAAUGACAGAAAGUGGAGCUGUAAAGGCUGAAAAAGCAAGAAAAAGUGGAACAGAAAGAAGAAGAAGAUGAUAAGAAAAUGACAAGGAGUGUGAAGGUAAGGAUGGCAAUGAUGAUUAUUUUGCUGAAAAAGGUGGUUUUAAUAGAGAUUUUUUUGUCUCUAAAGAAGUUAACUCCUCCAUUACCAAUCUCAUAACUUUUAAAGUUAAAAAAGGAAAUUCAAUGGAAUAAACCUAACCUAAGAGGAAAGGACCUGUACUCAGAAAACUAUAGAAUACUCAUGAAAGAAACUGAGGAAGACACAAAGAAAUGGAAAAACAUUCCAUGCUCAUGGAUUGGAAGAACAAAUAUUGUUAAAAUGUCUGUGCUACCUAGAGCAACCUACACAUUCAAUGCAAUCCCUAUCAAAAUACCAUCAACUUUUUUCAUAGAACUGCAACAAAUAAUCCUAAAAUUUGUAUGGAACCGGAAAGGACCCUGAAUAGCCAGAGGAAUGUUGAAAAACAAAAGCAAAGCUGGCGCCAUCACAAUGCCAGACUUCCAGCUCUAUUACAAAGCUGUCAUCAUCAAGACAGUAUGGUACUGGCACAAAAACAGACACAUAGAUCAAUGGAACAGAAUAGAGAGCCCAGAAAUGGACCCUCAACUCUAUGGUCAACCAAUCUUCGACAAAAUAAGAAAUAUGGAAUGGAAAAAAGACAGUCUCCUCAACAAAUAGUUUUGGGAAAAUUGGACAGCCACAUGCAGAAGAAUGAAACUUACACCAUACACAAAAAUAGACUCAAAAUGGAGGAAAGACCUAAAUGUGAGACAAGUAUCCAUCGAAAUCCUAGAGGAGAACACAGGCAACCACCUUCUCGACCUCAGCCACAGCAACUUCUUGCUAGACACGUCUCCAAAGGCAAGGGAAACAAAGGCAAAAAUGAACUACUGGGACGUCAUCAGGAUAAAAAGCUUUUUGCACAGCAAAGGAAAUUGUCGGCAAAACCAAAAGACAACCGGCAGAAUGGGAGAAGAUAUUUGCAAAUGUCUUAUCAGAUAAAGGGUAGUCUCCAAAAUCUAUAGAGAACUUACCAAACUCAACACCCAAAGAGCAGAUAAUCCAGUCAAAAAAUGGGCAGAAGGGCGCGUGGGUAGCUCAGUCAUUAAGCGUCUGCCUUCGGCUCAGGUCAUGGUCCCAGUGUCCUGGGAUCAAGUCCCACAUCAGGCUCCCUCCUCAGCAGGAAGCCUGUUUCUCCCUCUCCCACUCCCCCUGCUUGUGUUCUCUCUCUCGCUGUGUGUCUCUCUGUCAAAUAAAUUAAAAAAAAAUUUUUUUAAAAAUGGGCAGAAGACAUGGACAGACAUUUCUCCAAGGAAUACCUACAAAUGGCCAACAGACACAUGAAAAAAUGCUCAACAUCACUCAGCAUCAGGGAAAUCCAAAUCAAAACCUCCAUGAGAUACCACCUCACACCAGUCAGAAUGGCUAAAAUUAACAAGUCAGGAAACGACAGAUGUUGGUGGGGAUGCAGAGAAAAGGGAACCCUCCUACACUGCUGGUGGGAAUGCAAGCUGGUGCAGCCACUCUGGAAAACAGUAUGGAGGUGCCUCAGAAAGUUGAAAAUAGAGCUACCCUUGGACUCAGCAAUUGCACUACUGGGUAUUUACCCCAAAGAUACAAAUGUAGGGAUCCGAAGGGGUACGUGCACCCCAAUGUUUUAGCAGCAAUGUCUACAAUAGCCAAACUAUGGAAGGCGCCCAGCUGUCCAUCGACAGAUGAAUGGAUAAAGAAGAUAUGGUAUAUAUAUACACAAUGGAAUAUUAUGCAGCCAUCAAAAAGAAUGAAGUCUUGCCAUUUGCAACCAUGUGGAUGGACCUAGAGGGCAUUACACUAAGUGAAAUAAGUCAAUCAGAGAAAGACAAGUAUCAUAUGAUCUCACUGAUAUGUGGAAUUUAAGAAACAAGGCAGAGGAUCAUAGGGGAAGAGAAGGGAAAAUGGAACAAGAUGAAAUCAGGGAGGGAGACAAACCAUAAGAGAGUCUUAAUCUUAGGAAGUGAGAGAAUGAGACAACACAGUCUGUUAAGACAUAGAACAGGGAUUGGCAAACUACAGCCUCCUGGCCAAAUCCAGCUCAGGGCCUCUUUUUUAAUAACCCAUGAGCUAAGGACUUGACUUGGGGACAUGGAGAAAGCCAGCUGGUCAUGUGUGGUUAGGUACGCCGACGGAAGCACCGGUUCUGAGGCGAAGUGGGCAUUACGGGGCGGGGGAGGGGCCAGGCUUAGCAGGAACAGUCACGUGCUCAGAGGCUUUAGGGGUUGCGCCGUGGCAGUCUGAGCAUGCCGGGGCAGGGCCGGCUCGGAGGAUUCCUGUUCGCGGAGCGGCACUAAGGGGGCGGAACUUCACAGGCGAGCAGAGCACGGAUUGGGUACAGAAAAAACGUACGGGGUCUCUAGGGCUGUUUGGUGGGAACCAAUCACGAGUCAAGAGGCACUACCAGGGGUGUGUUUGCGCAGGCGUUCUGGGGUGUCCCAAGUUGCAAUGCGCGCGAAGGGGUGAAGUUUUGUCAGGAAGCGCUUUGUCCUUCGGGUGGCGGGUGAGCUGAGAGGGCUGUACGGGAAGGCGCAGGUGCUGUGGGCAUUAUGAUGAGUGCGCCAGGUGGUCCUGGUGAACCCCGUGACCCUGGUGACCCCAGCGAGCCCGAAGGCCUGGGCAGUCCCGGAGGUCGCGGCGCUGAGGGAGAGGCGGGCGCCGCUUCUGGUGGCGUGUCCCAGAUGGAGCAGGCCCCCCACGCCCCAGGGCCUGACGGAGAUGCGGCACCCGCGGCUGGAGGUCCUGGGCACCGACUGCUCCAGUUCAUCCUCACUAUACCUUUCCCGUCGCCCGUGGAGGCGGAGAUUGCCGAGCGGUUCAUGACUCCAAAUGCUGAACUCCGAGGGCCAGCUCGGAAGGAGCUCAGUGUGAACGGCAGCGUCCUGACUGUCCGAUUGACUGCUGAGGACCCUGGCCAACUCCAAAUGUCCGUCACCUCCUGUCUUGACCAGGUUUCCCUGGUGAUGCGGAUCAUACAGCGCGUUGUGCCUCCCUUUUUUGCUAAGCCGCAGCAGGAAAAAGGGGGCUAGACCCAACCGCAUGUCCCGGCCUAGGCAUCCCGCUGGCGCACUGAUGCAUUGGUUGCCUAAUCUUUUGCCUGUACUGGCCCUUGGCUGCUUGGGAUCCAUGUGUUUUGUUUGGUAGUUAAAUGUUUAAUAAAUACAGAAAAUAG
Mirounga angustirostris (Northern elephant seal) is the source of this 3949-nucleotide long non-coding RNA. RefSeq lists it as uncharacterized. The transcript is spliced from 4 exons. The record is from RefSeq and is a predicted model, not a curated record. NCBI's taxonomy places the organism in Eukaryota, Metazoa, Chordata, Mammalia, Carnivora, Phocidae.